RNAcentral lists this ribosomal RNA (497 nucleotides) under Pseudomonas sp. TERI 6013. Its description in RNAcentral is "bacterial SSU rRNA". It matches the Rfam family "Bacterial small subunit ribosomal RNA", at positions 30 to 525 of the family's 1533-position model. Lineage: Bacteria; Pseudomonadati; Pseudomonadota; Gammaproteobacteria; Pseudomonadales; Pseudomonadaceae. The record is from RNAcentral.
UGAACGCUGGCGGCAGGCCUAACCAUGCAAGUCGAGCGGAUGAAGGGACGCUUGCUCCUGGAUUCAGCGGCGGACGGGUGAGUAAUGCCUAGGAAUCUGCCUGGUAGUGGGGGAUAACGUCCGGAAACGGGCGCUAAUACCGCAUACGUCCUGAGGGAGAAAGUGGGGGAUCUUCGGACCUCACGCUAUCAGAUGAGCCUAAGGUCGGAUUAGCUAAGUUGGUGGGGUAAAGGCCUACCAAGGCGACGAUCCGUAACUGGUCUGAGAGGAUGAUCAAGUCACACUGGGAACUGAGACACGGUCCAGACUCCUACGGGAAGGCAGCAGUGGGGAAUAUUGGCGCAAUGGGCGAAAGCCUGAUCAAGCGCAUGCCGCGUGUGUUAAGAAGGUCUCCGGAUUGUAAAGCACUUAGUUGGGAAGAGGGCAAGUAAGUUAUACCUUGCUUAUUAUUGACGUUACAACAGAUAAGCACCGGCAACUUCUGCAAACGGGGGAAA